This 465-nucleotide ribosomal RNA is filed under the name uncultured bacterium. RNAcentral describes it as "partial 16S ribosomal RNA". It matches the Rfam family "Bacterial small subunit ribosomal RNA", at positions 28 to 507 of the family's 1533-position model. The record is from RNAcentral.
GACGAACGCUGGCGGCGUGCUUAACACAUGCAAGUCGAACGGAAAGGCCCCCUUGUGGGGUACUCGAGUGGCGAACGGGUGAGUAACACGUGAGUAACCUACCCUUUACUGUGGGAUAACUUCAGGAAACUGGGGCUAAUACCGGAUAGGAGCUCCUGCUGCAUGGGGGGGGUUGGAAAGUUUCGGCGGUUGGGGAUGGACUCGCGGCUUAUCAGCUUGUUGGUGGGGUAGUGGCUCACCAAGGCUGUGACGGGUAGCCGGCCUGAGAGGGUGACCGGCCACAUUGGGACUGCGAUACGGCCCAGACUCCUACGGGAGGCAGCAGUGGGGAAUAUUGCACAAUGGGCGGAAGCCUGAUGCAGCAACGCCGCGUGCGGGAUGACGGCCUUCGGGUUGUAAACCGCUUUCGCCUGUGACGAAGCGUGAGUGACGGUAAUGGGUAAAGAAGCACCGGCUAACUACGUG